Molecule: long non-coding RNA, 368 nt
Organism: Puntigrus tetrazona (Sumatra barb)
Lineage: Eukaryota; Metazoa; Chordata; Actinopteri; Cypriniformes; Cyprinidae
Exons: 3
Source: RefSeq, a predicted model, not a curated record
GCCUCUUCCCACGUGCUUUUCUGAUGCACCACGAUCAGCUCAUAGACCUUCAUGCAAUAAAAUCUCAAACGGACACCGCAGGGUCUGGCGUACAGAGUAUGCGCGGAUUUCUGGACAGCACCACAUUGAUCACCAUCAGUGGACAGGUAAUCGUAGUCCUGCAUGCAGCGCUGCUCUGCCUCUUGGAAUGACAAUGUCUCGUUCACGAAAUAGUGAAGUCUGUAGACGCCGACGUUCAGACUACAGAGGCUUGAAAGAAGCAGCACAGAUAUUGAUGACUUGUUACCACACCUGUUCACAAAUUUCUGGCAUGAACAGACCAAUGAAAACCAGGGCCGCUCUGACAUUAAGAGCGACCUUGACAUGGU